UAAAAUAGGCUUUGUCGUAGAUGCUUUUGCCCAACUGUAGGCUAAUGUAAGGGUAAGGUGAUGUAUUCUAGGCUAAGCUAUGAAGUCGGGUAAGGUAGGUGUGUUAAAUGCAUUUUCUACUUAAUAGAUUUUCAACUUAGGAUGGACUUAUCAGGACCUAACCCCAUCAUGAGUCGAGAAAGAUCUGUAUUAGAUUUGGAAUGAGUUUCUCACUAAGCUCAUCAGAUUCUUGGCCAAAAUUAACCUGAUUGCGAAAUGCCCAUGGCUUGUAGUGGGAGAGUGCCUGUCUCCAGAAGCCGGGCUGCAGCAUGCAAAGGGCUGAGCUCGCCCAGUGGGAAUUUCUUAACCCUGGGGCAGAGUAGUGGCUGCAGCAGGCUUUUGCUGUAGACUCUGAGUCACGCCUGUGAUGAAGGCCUUGUAAUUGGCUGCUCUCCCAUUUCUUUGUGGCCUGACCUGAGGGGUUGCCCCCAGCAGCCUCUGGCCACACCACUGCUUUGCCACUGAACCCAGAAAUGGCUCUUCUGCUGAAAAGGAGCUAAAACCUUAAUUUCUUACACCAGUAUUCUCCUCACAGCUUAUUUUCCUAACCUCUGAGACCCAUAGAUUAGAGCUUAGAUCUGGUGUCAGAAAAAGACCUGGAUGUUAGAUCUGAUUUUGCCACUUACUAGCUGGGGCAGUUUCUUUACAUCUUUAUGUCUCCGUCUUCUUGCCUGUUAAGUGGGGGAUGUUUAGUUCUUCACAACAGAACCUCCUGCAUAGGGUUAUUGUGAAGAAUUACUCAGUAGUUGUAAAGAUUAGAACUCAAGGCUUUAAAAACCUCAUCUCUUGGGCAUCCUAGGAAGGCAUUAAGGCCAGUUGAUGGGUGAGGCUGUUCCUGAGUGUGGAGCCAGGUGGCGCACGCACUGCAGGAUAGGAACUAGAGCCUGGCCAAGCAGACAGAGCAGUGCUCCACAGCGUGUACCCUCAUGGAAGGGGGACUUCAUGCUCCCCUUCAGUGCAGCUCAGAGGUCAUCCUCAGUAGUUCAUCCCUCCUGUGAGGGCGCAACCUCAGUGACUGCGGGAGCCAGACCGCAUGGGUUCAAUCCUAGCCCAAGAUUCACCAGCUGUGUGUCUUGGGGACUUUACUUCACCUGUGUGGGCAUUGGCUUCCUCAUCUGCAAAAUGGGUACAACAACCCACUGUUUCAACAAGAGGGUGAUGUGCGUGGUACUGCUGAUCUGGGCACAUGCCCCUCAGCAGCCUGGGAUGGAUGAUCUAGAUGGUGAAUGUGAAUUUUGAUACUAAAGAGAAGAUGUUUUGAGGAGAAAACCCAAGAUAUGCUGGGCUUUCUGGAGAGGCUGUUGUAACUGCUGGUCACCUUGCCUGUGUCUACAGCAGACCAGGCCACGGCAGUGCUUUUGGGUUCCUGGGCGUUGGUGAGCAUGACAGCUGGCCCCAGAAGCAUCUGCAGACCCUGCCAACGUGGAAUCCCAGAGACAGUUCAAGGAAAAACUAAAAAUUCUGGUUUUGAAGUAAAUUAGUCUUUAAAGAGGACUGACAAUCUAUUAUGAAUAAAGCUGCUCCGAUCAUUCGCAUACAACCUCGCUCCUCUCGGAUGAUUAUCUAGAAGUACAAUUUGGGGGUCAUGUGGUUUCCAUGCUUGAAGAAUCUCUGGUUGAAAAUUGUAAGACAGUUGGAGACUUGCUUCCCGUGUGGGAGAGACUCAGAUGGGACAGUAGGGAGAAUGCCACAGGUGUCCCUGGGCAUUGAUAUGUUGUUUUGGUGAAUAAUGAGCAGCAUGUGUGUGUGUGGGGGGGGCCGCCUUCUACGCUGUCUCAGGGAGGCCAGGGUCCACCUACUCUAGGGCAUCUGUUACAGCAGCGGAGAGGCAGGGCCUUGGCCUGGCCACUCAGUGGCCUCGUAUUGUACAUCACUGUUUGGACUUAGGGGCUGUUUUUGGAAUUUCUUUAUUGUCAGUUUCAUUCAAGGCAGAGUCACUCAGAAUGAAGAGGCCCUCUAGGAGUUCCCACUGUGGCUCAGCAGGUUAAGAACAGGACAUAGUGUCCAUGAGCAUGUGAGUUUGAUCCUUGGCCUCGCCCAGUGGAUUAAGGAUCUGGCUUUGCCACGAGCUGUGGUGUAGUUUGCAGAUACAGCUCAGAUCUGGUAUGGCUGUGGCUGUGAUGCAGGCCUGCAGGUAUAGCUCCGAUUUGACCCCUAGCCUAGAACUUCCAUAUGCUGCAAGUGCAGCUGUGAGAAAAAAAAUAAAAAAGGCUGGCCUGGGGCUGCAGGCACAUGGCACUCAAGCAGUGCUGUUUCUGCUUCCUGGCCAAAUUUCUUGACCAAGUUCCUACAUGGAUCAUGUACAUUCUCAUUUUUUCAUUUUUCAGCCUGUCACAACCAGAGACUUCUGCAGAGAAUCAAAACAUGGCAAAGAUUUUUCAUUUCCAUAAACAAGGCCAAAACUGCCUCACGUACUAACUUCACUGACAAAACAAGCUGUGCUGCUUCAUUGAAUUUUCAUGUGUUCCCAACCAGAGGGGAAAAGAGGACAUUCAUCCUCAGCCCAAACGUCAUUGCAACAUUACAAAAAGUAUCAUUUGGCUAUAAACAUUUUUGAGUAGGACUUUUUUCUCACGUCCUGAUGAAAUUGUUUCCCUGAAGUAAGCAAAGCAAUGAGAACAAGACAUAAAACCAAAAAAGACUGAAAAUAGAGGAGAAUGGAGCUCACGUCCCAUCCAGCUGUAGGAAUAACUGCAGAGCGCCUCUGUUUUCUAUGCCAGGAUGCAGACCGUUGCAUGUUAUUUAGCCAGGCCGAGGGGCUAUUUGCUCUGCUUUCAGGAACAGCAUCGGCUUGGCCCUGCUGUGAUCUGAUUUGACUUCACAAAAAGCCUAUGGGUAGAGAGGAUAGUUGUGCCCAUUUUAUAGAUGACAAAAUUUGAGGUUCCAUGAAGCCGAUUAGUUGUCCUCCCUCCUGCUGCAAACUUAGUAGCUAAGCAGAGCGGGUCAUGGGGCGUCAUGGGGCAGGAUGCCUGAGUGUCAGUCACUGGGCUUCAGGAUUUCUUUUCUGCCACAGUGUUCCCACACGGUAGUCGUAAGUGUCUCAGGGCCGUUGGUUACUCUUAGCCACAAACUCCUUACUCCCCCCAUUUUUUUAAAUUAAAGAUUUUACCUAAUUUACAUCCUCUCCUAGAAGCUGGUUCUCAGGCCUGGGCAUCCCACCUGAGUCUCAGACCAUACCAGCAUCUUUCCUUUUCAGCCACUUUCCACAGAGAGAGGAAGUUGCUCAGAGCCUAUCAGUAUUGUCUGAAGGUGGUUUUCUUUUUUUGUUUUUGUUUUUUUGUCUUUUUAGGGCCGUACCCACGGCAUAGGGAGGCUAGGAGUUGAAUCGGAGCUGUAGCCACUGGCCUACACCAACAGCCACAGCAAGGCAGGUUCCGAGCCGCAUCUGUGACCUACAUCACCACGCACGGCAACGCUGGAUCCUCAACCCACUGAGCGAGGCCAGGGAUCAAACCCGCGUCCUCAUGGAUGCUAGUUGGGUUUGUUAACUGCUGAGCCACAACAAGAACUCUUGGUUUUUUUUUUUUUUUUUUUCCAGUCCUUAUUUCCAUAAACAGUGCUUUCUCUAUAAGUCCUUUCAGUAUGGGCUGCAAAUGCCUCCUCCUCACCCCUCUUGACUCCAGACACAACCCUUAACCGGGGGACUGUGGGGUCCCAAACCUCCCCCACUACCAGGGGCCACCUCAGACCCAGAUGUGAAAUAGGUUUUGUCCUUCCACCAGGGCUCCUGCAACACAGGCCCUAAUUGUCUCUGCAUCUUUUUGUGGGAUAAAUAUGAGUCCAUAGUGAAGUUCCUGUUGUGGCGCAGUAGGUUAAGAACCUGACAUAGUGUCCGUGAGGAUGCAGUUUUGAUCCCUGGCCUCACUCAGUGGGUUAAGGAUGCAGCAUUGCUGAAAGUUGUGGCAAAGUUUUCAUUCGUGGCUCGGAUCUGGCACUGCCAUGGCUAUGGCGUAGCCCAGCAGCUGCCACUCCAAUUCGACCCCUAGCCUGGGA
This 4032-nucleotide long non-coding RNA is filed under the name Sus scrofa (pig). Its description in RNAcentral is "lncRNA (ENSSSCG00000056929.1)". Lineage: Eukaryota; Metazoa; Chordata; Mammalia; Artiodactyla; Suidae. The record is from RNAcentral.